This 254-nucleotide ribosomal RNA is filed under the name uncultured bacterium. RNAcentral describes it as "partial 16S ribosomal RNA". It matches the Rfam family "Bacterial small subunit ribosomal RNA", at positions 524 to 776 of the family's 1533-position model. The record is from RNAcentral.
UACGUAGGGGGCGAGCGUUGUCCGGAUUUAUUGGGCGUAAAGAGCUCGUAGGCGGUUCGAUAAGUCGGACGUGAAAUCUCCACGCUCAACGUGGAGGGGCCGUUCGAUACUGUCGUGACUCGAGUCCGGUAGGGGAGUGUGGAAUUCCCGGUGUAGCGGUGAAAUGCGCAGAGAUCGGGAGGAACACCCGUAGCGAAGGCGGCACUCUGGGCCGGUACUGACGCUGAGGAGCGAAAGCGUGGGGAGCGAACAGG